This is a small nucleolar RNA of Camellia sinensis, 151 nucleotides long. RefSeq annotates it as small nucleolar RNA snoR143. The record is from RefSeq and is a predicted model, not a curated record. Lineage: Eukaryota; Viridiplantae; Streptophyta; Magnoliopsida; Ericales; Theaceae.
UUUGAAUUUACGCCAAACAAAGUUGAUUUAAGACUCUGUUUGGUGGUAUUUUUUUAGGGAAAUCAGACAGCGGCCAGACAACCGUAGAGAUGGAUUCCACAGAUGACUGAAUUUUCAAUUUUGGUUGUCUACUGAUUCCAUUCUCACAUUU